UGGGGAAUAUUGGACAAUGGGCGAAAGCCUGAUCCAGCCAUGCCGCGUGUGUGAAGAAGGUCUUCGGAUUGUAAAGCACUUUAAGUUGGGAGGAAGGGCAUUAACCUAAUACGUUAGUGUUUUGACGUUACCGACAGAAUAAGCACCGGCUAACUCUGUGCCAGCAGCCGCGGGAAUCCAGAGGGUGCAAGCGGUAAUCGGAAUUACUGGGCGUAAAGCGCGCGUAGGUGGUUUGUUAAGUUGGAUGUGAAAUCCCCGGGCUCAACCUGGGAACUGCAUUCAAAACUGACUGACUAGAGUAUGGUAGAGGGUGGUGGAAUUUCCUGUGUAGCGGUGAAAUGCGUAGAUAUAGGAAGGAACACCAGUGGCGAAGGCGACCACCUGGACUAAUACUGACACUGAGGUGCGAAAGCGUGGGGAGCAAACA
This 427-nucleotide ribosomal RNA is filed under the name uncultured bacterium. RNAcentral's name for it is "partial 16S ribosomal RNA". It matches the Rfam family "Bacterial small subunit ribosomal RNA", at positions 355 to 774 of the family's 1533-position model. The record is from RNAcentral.